CGGACGGGUGAGUAACGCGUGGGUAACCUGCCUUGUACAGGGGGAUAACAGUUGGAAACGGCUGCUAAUACCGCAUAAGCACACGGCAUCGCAUGAUGCAGUGUGAAAAACUCCGGUGGUAUAAGAUGGACCCGCGUUGGAUUAGCUAGUUGGUGAGGUAACGGCCCACCAAGGCGACGAUCCAUAGCCGACCUGAGAGGGUGACCGGCCACAUUGGGACUGAGACACGGCCCAA
Molecule: ribosomal RNA, 235 nt
Filed under: uncultured bacterium
Lineage: Bacteria
Description: partial 16S ribosomal RNA
Rfam family: Bacterial small subunit ribosomal RNA
Source: RNAcentral